RNAcentral lists this ribosomal RNA (450 nucleotides) under Staphylococcus epidermidis. RNAcentral describes it as "bacterial SSU rRNA". It matches the Rfam family "Bacterial small subunit ribosomal RNA", at positions 44 to 476 of the family's 1533-position model. The record is from RNAcentral. Lineage: Bacteria; Bacillati; Bacillota; Bacilli; Caryophanales; Staphylococcaceae.
GUGCCUAAUACAUGCAAGUCGAGCGAACAGACGAGGAGCUUGCUCCUCUGACGUUAGCGGCGGACGGGUGAGUAACACGUGGAUAACCUACCUAUAAGACUGGGAUAACUUCGGGAAACCGGAGCUAAUACCGGAUAAUAUAUUGAACCGCAUGGUUCAAUAGUGAAAGACGGUUUUGCUGUCACUUAUAGAUGGAUCCGCGCCGCAUUAGCUAGUUGGUAAGGUAACGGCUUACCAAGGCAACGAUGCGUAGCCGACCUGAGAGGGUGAUCGGCCACACUGGAACUGAGACACGGUCCAGACUCCUACGGGAGGCAGCAGUAGGGAAUCUUCCGCAAUGGGCGAAAGCCUGACGGAGCAACGCCGCGUGAGUGAUGAAGGUCUUCGGAUCGUAAAACUCUGUUAUUAGGGAAGAACAAAUGUGUAAGUAACUAUGCACGUCUUGACGGU